UCGAACGAGAUCCAUUCAGUAGCAAUACUGAUGAAGAUCUAGUGGCGAACGGGUGCGUAACACGUGAGGAACUUGUCCCGGUCUCUGGGAUAACAGUUGGAAACGACUGCUAAUACCGGAUGACGUCGGAACUUCGCAUGGAGUACUGACGAAAGGGUUACUGGAUCGGGAGAGCCUCGCGGCCUAUCAGCUUGUCGGUGGGGUAACGGCCUACCGAGGCAUCGACGGGUAGCUGGUCUGAGAGGAUGAUCAGCCACACUGGGACUGAGACACGGCCCAGACUCCUACGGGAGGCAGCAGUGGGGAAUCUUGCACAAUGGGCGAAAGCCUGAUGCAGCAACGCCGCGUGCGGGAAGAAGGCCCUCGGGUUGUAAACCGCUUUCAGAAGGAACGAAACUGACGGUACUUUCAGAAGAAGGUGCGGCCAACUACGUGCCAGCAGCCGCGGUGACACGUAGGCACCAAGCGUUGUCCGGAUUUAUUGGGCGUAAAGAGCUCGUAGGCGGUUCAGUAAGUCGGGUGUGAAAACUUUGGGCUUAACCCAAAGCGUGCAUCCGAUACUGCUGUGACUUGAGUACGGUAGGGGAGCGGGGAAUUCCUAGUGUAGCGGUGAAAUGCGCAGAUAUUAGGAGGAACACCGGUGGCGAAGGCGCCGCUCUGGGCCGAAACUGACGCUGAGGAGCGAAAGCAUGGGUAGCAA
Molecule: ribosomal RNA, 700 nt
Filed under: uncultured Actinomycetes bacterium
Lineage: Bacteria; Bacillati; Actinomycetota; Actinomycetes
Description: bacterial SSU rRNA
Rfam family: Bacterial small subunit ribosomal RNA
Source: RNAcentral